This 305-nucleotide ribosomal RNA is filed under the name uncultured bacterium. RNAcentral's name for it is "bacterial SSU rRNA". It matches the Rfam family "Bacterial small subunit ribosomal RNA", at positions 333 to 635 of the family's 1533-position model. The record is from RNAcentral.
UUGGGCCUACGGGACGCAGCAGUGAGGAAUAUUGGUCAAUGGGCGCGAGCCUGAACCAGCCAAGUCGCGUGAGGGAGGACGGCCCUACGGGUUGUAAACCUCUUUUGCCGGGGAGCAACGGGCGUCACGUGUGGCGCCACUGAGAGUACCCGGAGAAAAAGCAUCGGCUAACUCCGUGCCAGCAGCCGCGGUAAUACGGAGGAUGCGAGCGUUAUCCGGAUUUAUUGGGUUUAAAGGGUGCGCAGGCGGAGGUGCAAGUCAGCGGUCAAAUUGCGGGGCUCAACCCCGUACUGCCGUUGAAACUG